This 1365-nucleotide ribosomal RNA is filed under the name uncultured bacterium. RNAcentral describes it as "16S ribosomal RNA". It matches the Rfam family "Bacterial small subunit ribosomal RNA", at positions 28 to 1399 of the family's 1533-position model. The record is from RNAcentral.
GAUGAACGCUGGCGGCGUGCCUAACACAUGCAAGUCGAGCGGGAAAUUUUAAAAUGAAGCUUCUGUAGAUUUUUAAGAUGGAGAGCGGCGGACGGGUGAGUAACGCGUAGGCAACCUGCCCUUUGCAGAGGGAUAGCCAUUGGAAACGAUGAUUAAAACCUCAUAAUACUAAAUAGUCACAUGGCUGUUUGGUCAAAGAUUUAUCGGCAAAGGAUGGGCCUGCGUCUGAUUAGCUAGUUGGUGGGGUAACGGCCUACCAAGGCGACGAUCAGUAGCCGACCUGAGAGGGUGAUCGGCCACAUUGGAACUGAGACACGGUCCAAACUCCUACGGGAGGCAGCAGUGGGGAAUAUUGCACAAUGGGCGAAAGCCUGAUGCAGCAACGCCGCGUGAAGGAAGAAGGUCUUCGGAUCGUAAACUUCUGUCCUUGGGGAAGAUAAUGACGGUACCCUUGGAGGAAGCCCCGGCUAACUACGUGCCAGCAGCCGCGGUAAUACGUAGGGGGCAAGCGUUAUCCGGAAUUAUUGGGCGUAAAGAGUGCGUAGGUGGUUACUUAAGCGCGGGGUUUAAGGCAAUGGCUCAACCAUUGUUCGCCCUGCGAACUGGGUUACUUGAGUGCAGGAGAGGAAAGCGGAAUUCCUAGUGUAGCGGUGAAAUGCGUAGAUAUUAGGAGGAACACCAGUGGCGAAGGCGGCUUUCUGGACUGUUACUGACACUGAGGCACGAAAGUGUGGGGAGCAAACAGGAUUAGAUACCCUGGUAGUCCACACCGUAAACGAUGAGCACUAGGUGUCGGGGUCGCAAGACUUCGGUGCCGCAGUUAACGCAUUAAGUGCUCCGCCUGGGGAGUACGUACGCAAGUAUGAAACUCAAAGGAAUUGACGGGGACCCGCACAAGCAGCGGAGCAUGUGGUUUAAUUCGAAGCAACGCGAAGAACCUUACCAGGACUUGACAUCCUCCUGACCGCUCUUUAAUAGGAGCUUUCCUUCGGGACAGGAGAGACAGGUGGUGCAUGGUUGUCGUCAGCUCGUGUCGUGAGAUGUUGGGUUAAGUCCCGCAACGAGCGCAACCCUUGUCAUUAGUUGCCAUCAUUAAGUUGGGCACUCUAGUGAGACUGCCGGGGAUAACUCGGAGGAAGGUGGGGAUGACGUCAAAUCAUCAUGCCCCUUAUGUUCUGGGCUACACACGUGCUACAAUGGUCGGUACAAAGAGACGCGAAGUCGCGAGGCGGAGCAAAUCUCAAAAGCCGAUCCCAGUUCGGAUUGUAGGCUGCAACUCGCCUACAUGAAGUUGGAGUUGCUAGUAAUCGCGGAUCAGAAUGCCGCGGUGAAUGCGUUCCCGGGUCUUGCACACACCGCCCGUCA